GACGAACGCUGGCGGCGUGCCUAAUACAUGCAAGUAGGACGCAGUUGCGAACGGGUGAGUAACGCGUAGGUAACUGCCUAUUAGAGGGGGAUAACUAUUGGAAACGAUAGCUAAUACCGCAUACUAGUAGAUGGACCUGCGUUGUAUUUGGUAGUAGGUAGGGUAAUGGCCUACCUAGGCAACGAUACAUCGCCGACCUGGGAGGGUGAUCGGCCACACUGGGACUGGAACACGGGCCAGACUCCUUCGGGGAGCAGCAGUAGGGAAUCUUUGGAAAUGGGGGGAACGCUGACCGAGCAACGCCGCGGGAGUGGAGAAGGUUUUCGGAUCGUAAAGCUCUGUUGUUAAGGAAGCGGUACUUAACCAGAAAGGGACGGCUAACUACGUGCCAGCAGCCGCGGUAAUUC
Molecule: ribosomal RNA, 407 nt
Filed under: uncultured bacterium
Lineage: Bacteria
Description: partial 16S ribosomal RNA
Rfam family: Bacterial small subunit ribosomal RNA
Source: RNAcentral